GACGAACGCUGGCGGCGUGUUUAACCCAGCCAGGUGGAAGGGAAGGGCCCGCUUUUGUGGGGUGUCUGAGUUGUGAAUCGGGGAGUUAAAAGGUAGUUAACUGGCCUUUGCCUUUGGGUUACUUUAGGUAACCUGGGCUUAAUACGGGUAGGAGCUUCUGGCUCAAGGGUGGGGGUGGAAAGGUUUGGCGGUUGGGGAUGGACCCGCGGCUUUUCAGCUUGUUGGUGGGGUAGUGGCUUUCCAAGGCUUUGAAGGGUAGCCGGCCUGGGAGGGUGACCGGCCACAUUGGGACUGAGAUGCGGCCCAGACUCCUACGGGAGGCAGCAGUGGGGAAUAUUGCACAAUGGGCGGAAGCCUGAUGCAGCAACGCCGCGUGCGGGAUGACGGCCUUCGGGUUGUAAACCGCUUUCGCCUGUGACGAAGCGUGAGUGACGGUGAUGGGUAAAGAAGCACCGGCUAACUACGUG
Molecule: ribosomal RNA, 467 nt
Filed under: uncultured bacterium
Lineage: Bacteria
Description: partial 16S ribosomal RNA
Rfam family: Bacterial small subunit ribosomal RNA
Source: RNAcentral